GGUUCUAUUUUAAAUAGUUCGUAGUUGUGCACAAGCAUAUUGAUUUUAGAUUCUUUUACUUGGUUUGUACUUUUGUGUGUGACUUCUAACCUAUCCCAAAUUUCUUUAGCUGAAUUGCAUGUAGAAAUGCGAUUAAAUUCAUUAGCAUCCAAAGCACAAUAUAAAAUAUUCAUGGCUUUAGCAUUGAGCUGAGCUAUUUUCUUAUCAAUUUUAUAUCAUUCACCU
RNAcentral lists this long non-coding RNA (225 nucleotides) under Elaeis guineensis (African oil palm). RNAcentral's name for it is "long non-coding RNA (EGUI_LNC081009)". The record is from RNAcentral. Lineage: Eukaryota; Viridiplantae; Streptophyta; Magnoliopsida; Arecales; Arecaceae.